AUUCUUAAGGAGCCGAAUUCCCAAGAUUUCAUGGGGAGCGGGGGAUCCGUUUUGGGUGAAUUGAUCUCGCAAGAGAGGGAUCAUAGGUGACCUUCCACCGAACCCUUAAGCUAACCUCGCAGGCAUUGGAAGGAGCUUUU
This 140-nucleotide small RNA is filed under the name Paenibacillus sp. Its description in RNAcentral is "c-di-AMP sequence". It matches the Rfam family "c-di-AMP riboswitch aptamer (ydaO/yuaA leader)". From Rfam's summary of the family: This family represents a conserved RNA structure found upstream of the ydaO and yuaA genes in Bacillus subtilis and related genes in other bacteria. Lineage: Bacteria; Bacillati; Bacillota; Bacilli; Caryophanales; Paenibacillaceae. RNAcentral also lists the same sequence under 1 other name. The record is from RNAcentral.